GGAACUGUAGGAUAAUGGUUAGUCCAUCAAGCUUAUGUGAUUCUCCCUAACCGGGAAAUUUCAUGAUUCAUUCCUUGAAUAUCGUGGUUCGAUUCCGCGCAGCUCCA
Molecule: transfer RNA, 107 nt
Organism: Penicillium solitum
Lineage: Eukaryota; Fungi; Ascomycota; Eurotiomycetes; Eurotiales; Aspergillaceae
Rfam family: tRNA
About the family: Transfer RNA (tRNA) molecules are approximately 80 nucleotides in length.
Source: Rfam